ACAAUUGGGCACCUUUUAUUUUCUGCUACAUGGUAUGUAUUAUUAUUAGAAAUUACAGUCAUUUUCUAGCAAGAUUAUGAGCUUUAAUCAGUGAUGACCCAGACUUCUUCAGCUUUGGUGAUCACUCACCCAACUUUUUGCCUUUUCUACAGAGAAAAAGUGCAAAGGAAAACACUGGGCAACCUCAGAAGCACACAACAAAUAGGGAGAAACACUCACUCAAUGUUUCUCAAAGCCUAGACAAACGGCUAACUAGAAAUGGGACACCCUGAAGAAACAGGAAAGAGCACAGGAGAUGAAGAACAAACACAGCCAAUGGUGAGGCCCUCGGCAGGGUGCAGGGAGGGGGUGCUAUUGCUAAUAAAAAGAGAAGAAAGAAGAUUUUCAUCUAAAAUGAGAAAAGAGAAGAGAGAAAACAGCUGCAUUUAUACAAGAUGGUAUGAUUUGCUUCUAUUCACAGGCAUAAUGGGAAAAAAUAACUUGAACAUUGGGGUUAAAAUUGGGUUGAAUUGAAAAGAAAUCCAGCUGGAUAAAAUGAUAUCUGAACGGAAAUGUAAGGUAUCCUUGAAAUGGCAUUAAAAAUGUGAGGAAAACAGUCAUAUUUUAGAG
RNAcentral lists this long non-coding RNA (609 nucleotides) under Aotus nancymaae (Ma's night monkey). RNAcentral's name for it is "lncRNA (ENSANAG00000038837.1)". Lineage: Eukaryota; Metazoa; Chordata; Mammalia; Primates; Aotidae. The record is from RNAcentral.